RNAcentral lists this ribosomal RNA (253 nucleotides) under uncultured bacterium. RNAcentral describes it as "partial 16S ribosomal RNA". It matches the Rfam family "Bacterial small subunit ribosomal RNA", at positions 524 to 776 of the family's 1533-position model. The record is from RNAcentral.
AACGUAGGACGCAAGCGUUAUCCGGAUUUACUGGGCGUAAAGCGCGGGCAGGCGGUCUUGCCAGUCUGAUGUGAAAUCUCCCCGCUCAACGGGGAGCAGCCAUUGGAAACUACAAGACUGGAGUCUGACAGAGGUAGGCGGAAUUCCGGGUGGAGUGGUGAAAUGCGUAGAGAUCCGGAGGAACACCAGAGGCGAAGGCGGCCUACUGGGUCAGUACUGACGCUGAGCCGCGAAAGCCAAGGGAGCGAACGGG